This 460-nucleotide ribosomal RNA is filed under the name uncultured bacterium. RNAcentral's name for it is "partial 16S ribosomal RNA". It matches the Rfam family "Bacterial small subunit ribosomal RNA", at positions 338 to 795 of the family's 1533-position model. The record is from RNAcentral.
CCUACGGGAGGCAGCAGUGAGGAAUAUUGGUCAAUGGACGGAAGUCUGAACCAGCCAUGCCGCGUGCAGGAAGACGGCUCUAUGAGUUGUAAACUGCUUUUGUACAAGGGUAAACCUGAAUACGUGUAUUCAGCUGAAAGUACUGUACGAAUAAGGAUCGGCUAACUCCGUGCCAGCAGCCGCGGUAAUACGGAGGAUCCAAGCGUUAUCCGGAUUUAUUGGGUUUAAAGGGUGCGUAGGCGGAUUGAUAAGUUAGAGGUGAAAUGUCCGAGCUUAACUCGGGAACUGCCUCUAAUACUGUUGGUCUAGAGAGUAGAUGCGGUAGGCGGGAUGUAUGGUGUAGCGGUGAAAUGCUUAGAGAUCAUACAGAACACCGAUUGCGAAGGCAGCUUACCAAUCUAUAUCUGACGUUGAGGCACGAAAGCGUGGGGAGCAAACAGGAUUAGAUACCCCAGUAGUC